This 65-nucleotide transfer RNA is filed under the name Euceros serricornis. Its description in RNAcentral is "tRNA-Thr". Lineage: Eukaryota; Metazoa; Arthropoda; Insecta; Hymenoptera; Ichneumonidae. The record is from RNAcentral.
AGCUUUAUAGUUUAAAAAAAAACAUUAAUUUUGUAAAUUAAAAUUAAAUAAAAGUUUUAAAGCUU